Molecule: ribosomal RNA, 429 nt
Filed under: Gemmatimonadota bacterium
Lineage: Bacteria; Pseudomonadati; Gemmatimonadota
Description: Gemmatimonadetes bacterium partial 16S ribosomal RNA
Rfam family: Bacterial small subunit ribosomal RNA
Source: RNAcentral
UAGGGAAUCUUCGGCAAUGGACGAAAGUCUGACCGAGCAACGCCGCGUGAGUGAAGAAGGUUUUCGGAUCGUAAAACUCUGUUGUUAGAGAAGAACAAGGACGUUAGUAACUGAACGUCCCCUGCCGGUAUCUAACCAGAAAGCGACGGCUAACUACGUGCCAGCAGCCGCGGUAAUACGUAGGUGGCAAGCGUUGUCCGGAUUUAUUGGGCGUAAAGCGAGCGCAGGCGGUUUAUUAAGUCUGAUGUGAAAGCCUCCGGCUCAAGCGGGGAGGGUCAUUGGAUACUGGAAGACCUGACAGCAGAAUAGGAGAGUGGAAUUCCAUGUGUAGCGGUGAAAUGCGUAGAUAUAUGGAGGAACACCAGUGGCGAAGGCGGCUCUCUGGUCUGAAACUGACGCUGAGGCUCGAAAGCGUGGGGAGCAAACAGG